This 29-nucleotide non-coding RNA is filed under the name Drosophila melanogaster (fruit fly). Lineage: Eukaryota; Metazoa; Arthropoda; Insecta; Diptera; Drosophilidae. The record is from RNAcentral. RNAcentral also lists the same sequence under 7 other names.
UGCUCUGAAUGUCAAAGUGAAGAAAUUCA